AAUGAUAUGCCUGAAAAAAGGAUUAUUUUGAUAGAAUAAAUCAUGCAAAAUUUUGCUAUCAUUA
RNAcentral lists this transfer RNA (64 nucleotides) under Photinus corruscus. RNAcentral describes it as "tRNA-Ile". The record is from RNAcentral. Lineage: Eukaryota; Metazoa; Arthropoda; Insecta; Coleoptera; Lampyridae.